This 1012-nucleotide long non-coding RNA is filed under the name Hordeum vulgare. RNAcentral describes it as "long non-coding RNA (HVUL_LNC000290)". Lineage: Eukaryota; Viridiplantae; Streptophyta; Magnoliopsida; Poales; Poaceae. The record is from RNAcentral.
AUUGUUUAAUCGAAAAGAUGAUUUAUUUUACAAAAUAGAAGAAAAGAUCAGGUCCACCAUAUGAAAAAGCAAAUGCAUCUCUUAAGUCAAUGGAAAAAAUCUUCUGCGAAAAACAGCCCACACACCAUUUCUUUUUCAAGAGAUUCCAAUCCUAUCCCUGGAACCAAAGCGAGAGAGGCCCCAAUCACAGACAUAUUUACAUGCUAUAUUACAUAUGCAACAAGGUGUGCAGUCCAGGGUAGGCAACACAUGAGACAACGCAAAAGGUAGCAGCACUUGAGUAGGCGAUACAGAAAGGGGGCAUGGAAUACUAAAAGCGGGAGGUGGACAAGUUGCCAUUCUCGGGAUGCUGCUGCUGCCGGUGCCGGUGCCGGUGCCAGUUGCAAGCCCAGCACCGCGGCGCAACCUCGGAGGGAGGGAGGGAGCCGCCAGCGCCAGCCAUGGCCUCUGUCUGUCUGUGGCUCCUCUGAGUUCGUUAUCCCGAUUACUUGUAUUCUUUCUGAUAAGUUAAGAAAGGUAGGGGGCAAGGAGGAGAAAAGGUUUGGCAUCGCUUUCAGGUAGGUUCCCUCUCCGGCUUGGCUUCAUGCAGCUGAUUAAGGUGAGACACACACGCAUGCACAGGUUUCACUUGGCCUUUGAGGCGCGCCAGGGGCUAGGACGAAGCUGGCCAGGGGCAACAUCGCAGUGGUCUCGUGCAUGGCCCACUGGUGGCUGGGCUAAUCUGAUUACUUGGUGGUGCCACUUGAUGAUUACUUGGUUGGGUGUGUGUAAUGACUUCGUAGUGACCUGCUGGAGGUUCAACUCGAGUCCUCAAUGGCCAGCAACCUAUGAGUGACCGUGUGGCAGCUGAGCUGAGCUGAGCUAACCACCACCACUUCAUCGUAUAUCACCAGCAGUUCUAGCUAGAUUGUUACUAUCUAUACCGCUUGAUGAUUGUCAGGUUACUAGCGACCUGCUAACGUUAAUAUUUUACGUUGCGGUUCAAAAUAGUUCUGUGCGUAAUUAUUUUCUA